GGGCCGCUAGCUCAAUGGUAGAGCAAGGGACUUUUAAUCCCUAGGUUACAGGUUCGAGCCCUGUGCGGCUCA
This 72-nucleotide transfer RNA is filed under the name Chloroflexota bacterium. RNAcentral describes it as "tRNA-Lys". It matches the Rfam family "tRNA". Rfam says of the family: Transfer RNA (tRNA) molecules are approximately 80 nucleotides in length. Their secondary structure includes four short double-helical elements and three loops (D, anti-codon, and T loops). Lineage: Bacteria; Bacillati; Chloroflexota. The record is from RNAcentral. RNAcentral also lists the same sequence under 2 other names.